Molecule: ribosomal RNA, 498 nt
Filed under: uncultured bacterium
Lineage: Bacteria
Description: partial 16S ribosomal RNA
Rfam family: Bacterial small subunit ribosomal RNA
Source: RNAcentral
GACGAACGCUGGCGGCAUGCCUAACACAUGCAAGUCGAACGGAGAUUCCUUCGGUACUCGUAGUGGCGAACGGGGGAGGAAGGCGGGGGCAACCUGACAUCGAGAUGGGGACAUCAUCCCGAAAGGAGGGCGAAUACCGUAUGCGACAACAAUAUCGCAUGAGGGGGCGGUGGAAGAGGGCCUCUAGAUAUAAGCUGUCGCUAGAGGAUGGGCCUGCGUCUGCUUUGCGAGUUGGUGGGGUAACGGCCUACCCAGGCGGUGAUCCGUAGCCGGGCUGAGAGGAUGGACGGCCACAUUUGGACCGUGACCCGGCCCAGACUCCUUCGGGAGGCCGCCGUUGGGGAUCUUCCGCCAUAGGCGGAAGCCUUACUGCGCAAUGCCGCGUGAGUGAUGAAGGAAUUCGUUCCGUAAAGGUCUUUUGUUUAGGACGAAUGUGCAGAUUGUUAAUACUAAGCUGUAAUGACGGUAGUCAACGAAUAAGCCCCGGCUAACUACGUG